CUGGUCUGCUGGUGCCUGUCUGCUAAGUCAGGACUUCCUGUGUGCCUUACUUUCAACCUGAUGGCUAUCUCCACAGGUUCCUCCAUAGGCUGCUGUCACGAAAGGCACAGUCAACCUUCCGGCCACAGCUCAGAGCAGCUGUUUUACCAAUGGAGGCUUUGAAAUAGGGCCACCACUUGGACCACUGGAUUAAGUGUUCCACUGCUUAAAGUUUUAUUUUUUAUUAAGAUGGAAAUCAUUUCCUGACAGUGUGAUGACACACCAUUUUCAGCAGGUCAGAUGAGUUCCUAUAAUUAUGUAAAUCACCAUGGUUUCGUGGAUUGGGAGUUCAAACUGGUCAGGAGGUUGGAGAGAGGGAUCAUGGGUACUGCUGCAGUUCGAGGUCAUGUGGAAAGACAGCUUGUGGAGAUCUACAGCAGAUGACCAUGACAAUCCAGGUGUGGAAAGAGUGGACUGUUUAAUCUGAAUUUGGCAUAGUCAAAGAUGGACAAGUCUUGUGGUGCCAUACGGCACCACAAGGUGUGGGUUUUUUUCUACUGCCAUUUAUACAUGAGUUUAGCAACACACAAACUGUGCAAAAUAAUAUAUUUGAAACUAAAUUAGUCAAUUGAUGUUGAUAAAGCCUGAACUGUAUUGUACUGAACCCUACCUUCAAAAAAAAAAAAAGACAGCUUUAUGAUGUCUUGUGGAAUUGUUUGCAUUCUGGAUUGCUUGGUGCAGUGGAGUAGCUAGUUUUUGUAUUAUGGAGAUGGAUAUGUAGUAUCUUAUGUGGUGGAAUUAUAGUUGCUGUUGCCUAUUAAUAACUUUUUGAAGUGCACUUGUGUUGAGGAAUGUGAACCUGUUAGACUCUCUGCUAAUCAGCACCUGAUUAAAGGCACACCUGAUGUCAGUUAAGCACAGAGCUGAAGCAAUAUGCGAAAAAGCAUAGUUUUGGUAAUCUGUUAAAAUAGUGUCUACGGAAUGUAUCUUUUACUGGCUACACCUGCAUCGCACGUACAGCGCAGGUUUGUGUGAGGCAAAACAAGAUUGUGAGCUUUCGUUUUGGGAUGGUGUCUUCAGUUUUUGGACUCAGUACAGCACUGUUAAAUGUCAACUUUUUCACUGAGUUUGUGUAAUAUGGGUAAGUUACCCUACAGAAUACCGUAGGUUAUGUAAGGGAUAAAGUUAAGGGCGGGUUCACACCAGUCUUGUUUAGUUUGGUUGAACCAAACCCUGGAGGGUUUACCCCCUUGGUGCAGUUCGUUUGGGUCUGUGAGAAUGCUGGACUUGGACCAAACAGCCGCUCUCUGGUCCGCCUUGAAGGUGUGGUCUAGGACCGCUGUCAAGUGAACUCUGCAUGUUUGUAAUUGUGGCCCACUUAUCUCACUGGUCCACUUUGCAUAGCAAACAAGUCGUGAAAGGAUCUCAUCAGAAUUAACCAUCAGCUGUGAUAAGACUGAUGGCAGAGCGUCUUGCUCGAAAUGCCUGCAUUUUAAAAUCAUUUAAUACCCGCUGUCUUCAUAUGCGCGGUUCUCUAAUGUCUGCUCAUAUGCCUACAGAUCAACAUCAACAUAGCGUUUGUUGUCUCUUUACCAGCAGACUGUAUGACCAAUAAUCAAAUGACAUUUCCACCACAUGGCUUUUGUUUACAAUAUCUAGACCGUUUGAUUUUUGCCUUUGUGAAUGCAAACCGGACCAGUUGAAACAAUGUAUCAUCCUCGCAUUGGUUCGAUUCAGGGACCGGACCUUUGUGUGAACCCGCCGUAAGCAAACGCUAGCUGGUACUGGCAAAAUCAAUACAGACAGGGUGAUCAAGACCCCAAAGUAGCCCUUGAUACAACGUAGCCGAUAUACAGGUUGGCUACUUAUCAAAGAUAAAUAUAAAUUGACAGAAAAUAUUUAUUUAAAAUUAGGGUAUUUCAUUAACUUGUUGGUGUUACAGAAACUAGCAAAGAAACUAGUUGCCUAUAUCAACUGUCAGUUAAAUAGUUAAGCUAAGCGAUCGUCAUUCAGAAGUAAAUGAAUUCCAGCUAACAUUAGAUUCAUAUUUCUUGUAGCCGAAAUUUUUUUUCUAGUCUAUAUAAAUUGUUUUUACAACACCUGUUGUGACACUUUCCGCAUGUGUUACGUGUUCAAUGUAGCCAAAGCAUAAGUCUUAACUGAGGCUCAAUAAAAGCUGUUACCGGUCUGUGUGGAAAUGAAUAGUGGAAAUAGAUCAGGUUUUAACAGUGGAGAAAUACAGAUUUUGCAGUGGGCCAUUUUGCAUGCUUUUCUUUAAAAACUGCUUGUGUAUCACGGUAGGAGGUCCAGAUGAAAAUAAAGUUGGUUUGAAGUGUCUUUGACAAAUAAAAAAUGAGAAAGCUUUUGACUCAAAUCUGAAAAGCUCUCUUGGCCAUGCACUUUUAUGACAGUCCCUAAAUUAAGCAAGUCAUUUUCUUGUCUACUGUCAAGCUGCUGAAGGUGUCAGGCUUCAAUAUUGGAUCAUGAAAUGAAAAUAACACAUGUGGAA
Molecule: long non-coding RNA, 2488 nt
Organism: Siniperca chuatsi (mandarin fish)
Lineage: Eukaryota; Metazoa; Chordata; Actinopteri; Centrarchiformes; Sinipercidae
Exons: 3
Source: RefSeq, a predicted model, not a curated record